RNAcentral lists this ribosomal RNA (253 nucleotides) under uncultured bacterium. Its description in RNAcentral is "partial 16S ribosomal RNA". It matches the Rfam family "Bacterial small subunit ribosomal RNA", at positions 524 to 776 of the family's 1533-position model. The record is from RNAcentral.
UACGUAGGAGACGAACGUUAUCCGGAGUUACUGGGCGUAAAGGGCGUGUAGGCGGUUUGUUAAGUCUGGCGUGAAAGCUCUCGGCUAAACCGGGAGAGGUCGUUGGAUACUGGCGAACUAGAGGAUGGUAGAGGCGUGUGGAAUUCCGGGUGUAGUGGUGAAAUGCGUAGAGAUCCGGAGGAACACCAGUGGCGAAGGCGACACGCUGGGCCAUACCUGACGCUAAAGCGCGACAGCAUGGGGAGCAAACGGG